RNAcentral lists this transfer RNA (85 nucleotides) under Felis catus (domestic cat). It matches the Rfam family "tRNA". Rfam says of the family: Transfer RNA (tRNA) molecules are approximately 80 nucleotides in length. Lineage: Eukaryota; Metazoa; Chordata; Mammalia; Carnivora; Felidae. The record is from Rfam by way of RNAcentral.
GCCUGGGUGACUCAGUCGGUUAAGUGUCUGACUUCAACUCAGGUCAUGAUCUCACAGUUCGCGAGUUUGAGCCCCGCGUCAGGCU